This 424-nucleotide ribosomal RNA is filed under the name Verrucomicrobiota bacterium. Its description in RNAcentral is "Verrucomicrobia bacterium partial 16S ribosomal RNA". It matches the Rfam family "Bacterial small subunit ribosomal RNA", at positions 355 to 776 of the family's 1533-position model. Lineage: Bacteria; Pseudomonadati; Verrucomicrobiota. The record is from RNAcentral.
UGAGGAAUAUUGGUCAAUGGGCGAGAGCCUGAACCAGCCAAGUAGCGUGCAGGAUGACGGCCCUAUGGGUUGUAAACUGCUUUUAUAUGGGAAUAAGGUGAGGGACGUGUCCCUUAUUGCAUGUACCAUAUGAAUAAGGACCGGCUAAUUCCGUGCCAGCAGCCGCGGUAAUACGGAAGGUCCAGGCGUUAUCCGGAUUUAUUGGGUUUAAAGGGAGCGUAGGCUGUUUGUUAAGCGUGUUGUGAAAUGUAAGAGCUCAACUUUUAGAUUGCAGCGCGAACUGGCAGACUUGAGUGCGCACAACGUAGGCGGAAUUCAUGGUGUAGCGGUGAAAUGCUUAGAUAUCAUGACGAACUCCGAUUGCGAAGGCAGCUUACGGGAGCGCAACUGACGCUAAAGCUCGAAGGUGCGGGUAUCGAACAGG